Long non-coding RNA from Lycium ferocissimum, 506 nucleotides. RefSeq lists it as uncharacterized. The transcript has 3 exons. NCBI's taxonomy places the organism in Eukaryota, Viridiplantae, Streptophyta, Magnoliopsida, Solanales, Solanaceae. The record is from RefSeq and is a predicted model, not a curated record.
UUCUCACUAGAUCUCUAGGGUUUUUUAUCCUACUUUCUCCAUAGUUAUUUCUGCAAAGAUUCAAAGUAAAUAAAUAGGGAAAAAAAAGGAGAGAAACAGUUUAGGUGGUCAAAACCAAUGGAAUAUUUGAUGUUGGAGAUCCUAGCUGAUGAAAUGAAGCAAGGAAAAAAAUCAACUAAUCAGUUUAAGGCCACCUCAUUCAAUUGUGUUUUGGAUGCCAUUAACUAACAAAUUAGAAUGGACUUUUCAGCUAAACAUAAUCAUCUUAAAACACUAUGAAGCGCAUGGAAUACCGUACAAACUCUACUCAACAAAAGUGGUCUUGGAUGGGAUGACAACUUGAAGAUGAUUACUGCGAGUCUUAGAGUAUAUGAUCUCCAUGUUCAGGAGCAUCCUACUCACGAUAAGUUCAUCAACAAGAAGAUUGAUAUGCUUGAAGAAAUGUCUCUUGUGUGUGGGAACGAUCGAGCUAGGGGUGAUUAUGCUAAGUCAUUUGAUGAUAUAAA